UACGUAGGCAGCAAGCGUUGUUCGGAGUUACUGGGCGUAAAGGGUGCGUAGGCGGCCCUGUAAGUAUGGUGUGAAAUCUCCCGGCUUAACUGGGAGGGUGCGCUAUAGACUGCGGGGCUCGAGUGUGGGAGAGGAAAGUGGAAUUCCUGGUGUAGCGGUGAAAUGCGUAGAUAUCAGGGGGAACACCGGUGGUGUAAACGGCUUUCUGGACCAUAACUGACGCUGAGGCACGAAAGCGUGGGUAGCAAACAGG
RNAcentral lists this ribosomal RNA (253 nucleotides) under uncultured bacterium. RNAcentral's name for it is "partial 16S ribosomal RNA". It matches the Rfam family "Bacterial small subunit ribosomal RNA", at positions 524 to 776 of the family's 1533-position model. The record is from RNAcentral.